Molecule: ribosomal RNA, 404 nt
Filed under: uncultured bacterium
Lineage: Bacteria
Description: bacterial SSU rRNA
Rfam family: Bacterial small subunit ribosomal RNA
Source: RNAcentral
GGACGAACGCUGGCGGCGUGCUUAACACAUGCAAGUGGGGCGACGAACCAGGCUUCGGCCUGGGGCAAAGCCGCGAACGGGUGAGUAACACGUGGGUAACCUGCCCCGAAGACCGGGACAACCCGGGGAAACCCGGGCUAAUACCGGAUGGGGGUCAUCGUUCAUAAGGACGAUGAGCAAAGGAAGCUUCGGCCUCCGCUUCGGGGAUGGGCCCGCGGCCCAUUAGCUUGUUGGUGAGGUAACGGCUCACCAAGGCUUCUAGGGUAGCUGGUCUGAGAGGACGAUCAGCCACACUGGGACUGAGACACGGCCCAGACUCCUACGGGAGGCAGGCAGUGGGGAAUCUUGCGCAAUGCGCGAAAGCGUGACGCAGCAACGCCGCGUGGGGAAGACGGCCUUCGGUU